RNAcentral lists this ribosomal RNA (691 nucleotides) under Bristowia gandhii. RNAcentral describes it as "partial 28S ribosomal RNA". The stretch from base 445 to 691 matches the Rfam family "Eukaryotic large subunit ribosomal RNA", at positions 665 to 883 of the family's 3401-position model. Lineage: Eukaryota; Metazoa; Arthropoda; Arachnida; Araneae; Salticidae. The record is from RNAcentral.
GUCUGUCGUGUCGGACGCUCUCGGGAGAAAACCGGGUAGGGCUUCCCGUGACAGGGGCCGUCUCCCGGGGCGUCUUCCGGCGCUUCAGACGCAUUUGUCUCUCGUCCGAAGGACGCUGCAGCCGGUCUGGCAGUGCAAGCGCGACGGCCUGAAGGUCGGGAGCUGGCAGGUGGCCGGUGGUUCGCCUCGUGCGGAUUAUCGGUUGUUAGCCGUCCCGUCGGUGGCCCGUCGCCAGACCGUGGUGUCGCGAGUCCCUUCGGGGACUCCUCGUCUCCACCCCAGUGUCGCGGGUAGAUCACGUCAAGGGUCUUUGGUCGAUCCGUCGCACUCCCUCGGAGUGGGCGGGCAGGCACGAGGCCCCGUUGGGCGUUGGCAGGACCCGUUGGGGACCGGAGGCUGGCAGCGAGUAGGUCGGUCACCCACCCGACCCGUCUUGAAACACGGACCAAGGAGUCUAACAUGUGCGCGAGUCAAUGAGUCUUGAACAGGCUCAGGGGCGCAAUGAAAGCGAAGGAUGGCCUCGCGUCAUCUGAGUGGGGAUCCCCGCCUUCGGGUGGGGCGCACCCGCGACCCGUCCUAUCCGGCUCGCCGGUUGGGCGGAGUCUGAGCGUACACGUUGGGACCCGAAAGAUGGUGAACUAUGCCCGGACAGGACGAGGCCAGAGGAAACUCUGGUGGAGGUCCGCAGCGG